GGAUCGGCUAACUCCGUGCCAGCAGCCGCGGUAAUACGGAGGAUCCAAGCGUUAUCCGGAAUCAUUGGGUUUAAAGGGUCCGUAGGCGGUUUUAUAAGUCAGUGGUGAAAUCCGGCAGCUCAACUGUCGAACUGCCAUUGAUACUGUAGAACUUGAAUUAUUAUGAAGUAACUAGAAUAUGUAGUGUAGCGGUGAAAUGCUUAGAGAUUACAUGGAAUACCAAUUGCGAAGGCAGGUUACUAAUAAUACAUUGACGCUGAUGGACGAAAGCGUGGGGAGCAAACAGGAUUAGAUACCCUGGUAGUCCACGCCGUA
This 315-nucleotide ribosomal RNA is filed under the name Pseudoalteromonas fuliginea. Its description in RNAcentral is "bacterial SSU rRNA". It matches the Rfam family "Bacterial small subunit ribosomal RNA", at positions 490 to 804 of the family's 1533-position model. Lineage: Bacteria; Pseudomonadati; Pseudomonadota; Gammaproteobacteria; Alteromonadales; Pseudoalteromonadaceae. The record is from RNAcentral.